GACGAACGCUGGCGGCGUGCUUAACACAUGCAAGUCGAACGGAAAGGCCCUGCUUUUGUGGGGUGCUCGAGUGGCGAACGGGUGAGUAACAAGUGAGUAACCUGCCCUUGACUUUGGGAUAACUUCAGGAAACUGGGGCUAAUAACGGAUAGUAGCCCCUGCUGCAUGGUGGGGGUUGGAAAGUUUCGGCGGUUGGGGAUGGACUCGGGGCUUAUCAGCUUGUUGGUGGGGUAGUGGCUUACCAAGGCUUUGCGGGGUAGCCGGCCUGAGAAGGUGACCGGACACAUUGGGACUGAGAUGCGGGCCAGACUCCUACGGGAGGCAGCAGUGGGGAAUGUUGCACAAUGGGCGGAAGCCUGAUGCAGCAACGCCGCGUGCGGGAUGACGGCCUUCGGGUGGUAAACCGCUUUCGCCUGUGACGAAGCGUGAGUGACGGUAAUGGGUAAAGAAGCACCGGCUAACUACGUG
RNAcentral lists this ribosomal RNA (468 nucleotides) under uncultured bacterium. Its description in RNAcentral is "partial 16S ribosomal RNA". It matches the Rfam family "Bacterial small subunit ribosomal RNA", at positions 28 to 507 of the family's 1533-position model. The record is from RNAcentral.